Long non-coding RNA from Bos indicus x Bos taurus (hybrid cattle), 268 nucleotides. The record is from Ensembl. NCBI's taxonomy places the organism in Eukaryota, Metazoa, Chordata, Mammalia, Artiodactyla, Bovidae.
UCUAUUUCUGUUUUACCAGUUUCUCUGAACUGGUUUACCAGUUACAUAUUUUGCUUCUUGUUUUUAUAGACUUCUGAGAGCAACAGCAAAUAUAUUCAAUACUGAGAAUAUUUCAUUUGUAUUGAACACAAUGAGAAGGUGGAUAAAUGUAUACUGAUUUUUUCCUAUUCUGUAAUGGAUUUUGGACUUUGCUUCACAAGUAAGCCUACUCCCUUGAUUUGAACCUCCGGUGCCCCUUUCAAUAUGGAACUCUGUCUUGGCAUUUGCC